Molecule: ribosomal RNA, 509 nt
Filed under: uncultured bacterium
Lineage: Bacteria
Description: partial 16S ribosomal RNA
Rfam family: Bacterial small subunit ribosomal RNA
Source: RNAcentral
AACGAACGCUGGCGGCAUGCUUAACACAUGCAAGUCGAACGUGAAGGGGACUUCGGUCCCUGGAAAGUGGCGCACGGGUGAGUAACACGUGGAUAAUCUACCCGAUGAUCUGGAAUAACACUUCGAAAGGGGUGCUAAUACCGGAUAAGCUCACGACGUCUUCGGACGACGCGGGAAAAGGGGGCUUCGGCUCCUGUCAUCGGAGGAGUCCGCGGCCCAUUAGCUAGUUGGUAGGGUAAUGGCCUACCAAGGCUACGAUGGGUAGCUGGUCUGAGAGGAUGAUCAGUCACACUGGAACUGAGACACGGUCCAGACUCCUACGGGAGGCAGCAGUGGGGAAUUUUGCGCAAUGGGCGAAAGCCUGAUCCAGCCAUGCCGCGUGUGUGAAGAAGGUCUUCGGAUUGUAAAGCACUUUAAGCCGGGAGGAAGGGCUGUAGGCGAAUACCCUGCAGUCUUGACGUUACCGGCAGAAUAAGCACCGGCUAACUUCGUGCCAGCCGCCGCCGUAA